GGGUGAUGGUGGCGGACGGGUGAGUAACGCGUAAAGAACUUGCCCUGCAGUCUGGGACAACAUUUGGAAACGAAUGCUAAUACCGGAUAUUAUGCGAGUCUCGCAUGAGGUUCGUAUGAAAGCUAUAUGCGCUGCAGGAGAGCUUUGCGUCCUAUUAGCUAGUUGGUGAGGUAACGGCUCACCAAGGCGAUGAUAGGUAGCCGGCCU
This 207-nucleotide ribosomal RNA is filed under the name Fusobacterium mortiferum. RNAcentral's name for it is "partial 16S ribosomal RNA". It matches the Rfam family "Bacterial small subunit ribosomal RNA", at positions 87 to 293 of the family's 1533-position model. The record is from RNAcentral. Lineage: Bacteria; Fusobacteriati; Fusobacteriota; Fusobacteriia; Fusobacteriales; Fusobacteriaceae.